This 358-nucleotide unclassified non-coding RNA is filed under the name soil metagenome. RNAcentral describes it as "partial contains 5.8S ribosomal RNA, internal transcribed spacer 2, and large subunit ribosomal RNA". The stretch from base 1 to 120 matches the Rfam family "5.8S ribosomal RNA", at positions 35 to 154 of the family's 154-position model. The record is from RNAcentral.
GAUGAAGAACGUAGCGAAAUGCGAUAAGUAAUGUGAAUUGCAGAAUUCAGUGAAUCAUCGAAUCUUUGAACGCACAUUGCGCCCGUCAGUAUUCUGGCGGGCAUGCCUGUUCGAGCGUCAUUACGCCCCUCAAGUCCCCUGUGGACUUGGUGUUGGGGAUCGGCGAGGCUGGUUUUCCAGCACAGCCGUCCCUUAAAUUAAUUGGCGGUCUCGCCGUGGCCCUCCUCUGCGCAGUAGUAAAACACUCGCAACAGGAGCCCGGCGCGGUCCACUGCCGUAGAACCCCCCAACUUUUUAUAGUUGACCUCGAAUCAGGUAGGACUACCCGCUGAACUUAAGCAUAUCAAUAAGCGGAGGA